GCUAGCCUGAUAGGGGGUUGCACCCUCAACCAUAUAAACCAUGCUUUUCCACUCUCACCAGACAAUGUGGGACUAUUCCCAACAAUCUCCCUCUCACACAUUGUGAGCCGAGAUUUGUCUGAGAAUGCACUGGGCCAACCUGGCUUUGAUACCAAUUGUUGGAACCGGACCGCCAACACAUGGCGUGUCCGUCGGGGCCGCCCGCACACACGGCGCGCCCACCCAAGCUGUCGGGCUGCGACACACGCGCCCGCACGUAUAGCAGCGGGCUUUAGGUCUCUUGGGCCAACACUCCCCCAAAAAGCUAGCCUGAUAGUGGGUUGCACCCUCAACCAUAUAAACCAUGCUUUUCCACUCUCACCAGACAAUGUGGGACUAUUCCCAACA
This 387-nucleotide long non-coding RNA is filed under the name Zea mays. RNAcentral's name for it is "long non-coding RNA (ZMAY_LNC003648)". Lineage: Eukaryota; Viridiplantae; Streptophyta; Magnoliopsida; Poales; Poaceae. The record is from RNAcentral.